GAUCCUGGCUCAGGAUGAACGCUAGCUACAGGCUUAACACAUGCAAGUCGAGGGGCAGCGGGAUUGAAGCUUGCUUCAAUUGCCGGCGACCGGCGCACGGGUGAGUAACGUGUAUCCAACCUUCCGUACACUCAGGGAUAGCCUUUCGAAAGAAAGAUUAAUACCUGAUGGUAUCUUAAGCACACAUGUAAUUAAGAUUUAAAGAUUUAAUCGGUUGUACGAUGGGGAUGCGUUCCAUUAGGUAGUAGGG
Molecule: ribosomal RNA, 250 nt
Filed under: uncultured bacterium
Lineage: Bacteria
Description: partial 16S ribosomal RNA
Rfam family: Bacterial small subunit ribosomal RNA
Source: RNAcentral